Long non-coding RNA from Cygnus olor (mute swan), 8297 nucleotides. RefSeq lists it as uncharacterized. The transcript is spliced from 3 exons. The record is from RefSeq and is a predicted model, not a curated record. Lineage: Eukaryota; Metazoa; Chordata; Aves; Anseriformes; Anatidae.
AGGCUGAAGGCUGCUGCUGCAGUCUGGUGCCGUUCCCUCUGAUACGGCUGAAUUUUACUGUAUGUUCCUUAAGAAUCUUUUUCCCAUUAAGUUUUGUGCCAUCUUUUCCCUUCAGUUGCUGUCUUAAGGUCAAACCUUGCUAGCGUUCUUCAAGGAGAAGAGGUGCUGCUUGUAUGGGGAAGUCUCAGCGGUCACGUAACCUUUUCACCAAUUCCACCUUCCUGCUGAGUAGUCUCUGCUUUUGCAGUUGUUCUUGGGCAAAGUUCACAAAGGAGCUAUAAAAUGGUUUCCAGUUUCUUGCCCGUGCCUUCUUUCACAGUGAGUACAGGUUGAGCCACGGUUCCUCAUCUGGGUGUACAAACAACUUGCUGUGUGGUUUUCUGUUUAUUUAUCUGUUUUUGCUACAAUCCUCUUUGAAGAGGAUACACAGUAAUGUUUUGCUAGGAUCUGUCAAAACUGGGAUUGUGUAAUUACUGCCACACAUCUGGCUGGCUGUCCCAUGAAUGGCGACUCAGCCGCUGGGUCCAAAGCCAGGCGUCAUUGUCGGCCACGUGGACAGCUUAUGACUGCGAGUGCCUCUGAGCUGCUUGCAGGUUAACCAGUUUUGGGGAUUGCACCUCUUAAAUUUCUCUUUCCUUAUGCUCAUCUCCCUCUUUUCUUCAAAGAUGUGUAAUUCAUACAGCUGAAAUAGCAAGACUCCCUGCAAUGUGGAAGAGUUAUUAGGUGUAUUUUGUUAGUGUUCUUUUUUUUUUUCUUGUCUUACUGAUUUGUGAGGCCAUCGUGUUGAUACGUGCCUGACAGUUCUGUGCUUCAGUGUGUACCGUUGAAGCCUGUCUGUUUCCAUCGUGUUCAUCACUGAAUUUGGUUUUUGUGUUAAAUAGAAAACACAAAACUCUUUCAAGCAUCUCUUGGGACUCCUAGCAUUCUGCUGCAGAUCUUUCUAUAUGAUCUAAAAUUUCUUUCCUCGGAUCCAAUCUUCCUGUGAGUCUCUGGAUUUUCUGUAAUAGAGCACAGCACUUUUCUGCUGCAUUUGCUUCAUGCUAUGUCAUCCUACAGUCCCUGAGCGUUUUUCUCAAGUUCCCCACGUUUCUCUCAGAGAACUCUGCUUGAGCACGCUUGCUUCAGACUCUGCAGACCGUUUGCUUUCGGGUUAUAUCCGAGUUUUGUGUGGGUCUCCUCGAACUCAAUUUCAGUGCAACACCAUCCUUCUGACAUCACUUGGGCCCGUGGGUUCAGUUGUUCUGCUUUGAUAGCUUAUGUCUGAAUUAUUAAUUACUGCAUUAUUAUUACUCACUGCUGCUUUGUAAUUCUUAUAAGUCUCUCUUCUGCUUAGGAGCUGUAUAAAUUGUAGAGCUCUGCUUGUUCCGGUAUACCUAAAUUUCCCAAUUUAGGGGUGGUUCUGGGUAACUGCUGGUACCACAAGGACUUUCUAGUCACCCCCGGAGUGAAGAUGUCUUUGUGGAGAUCAGGAUCUUCUCAGUGUUAUCCCAAAGUUUUCCGUCCUUUUUUCUCAGCUGGCUGCUCUGGGUUCCUCUGGUCAUACCAGUGACUAUAACCAGGGGCUGUGUUGUCAGUUGGUGUGAUGCUGUGCUGCGCAAGCUAAACUGAGCUUCAACAUCAGCACAACUCCUCGGCAUCCAGUAUGUGCUUUUCCUUCUGGAAGUCCUUUUUGCCUCCGAUAUCCCCACAUCUACAUCCAGCCUGUUCUUACACAGAGAGGAUCAAUGGCCUACUUACGACCAGCUCAUUUCAGAAGAUGACUUGCUUUCAUGCUAUAAAUGGCUUGGAGUUGCCUAGCCAGGAAUCUAGUUCUCUGCAAAUGCAGCCCCAGGUCAUCACGGCGAGUCUGUAGGUUUUCUCCAGGAUGUGCUAAUAUGGAUUCCUUUUUGUUGAAAGCAACGUUGUGGGGUUUUAAUGAAAAUUAAUGAUGGUGGCAUCAUUUCCUCUGCAGGAUCUGCUGCUGUGGCACAAGCAAGAGGCCUGGUACACCCAAGCAAGACUUCUGUGCUAAUGAGGGUCCUGUCCUGCCUGCUGAGCCCAGUUUCCUUCUAAAGGCACCGUGCUACUGUGAUGUUCCUUUAGGAGGCUACAGCUAAUUUACCUUAUCCUUGCAGGCCUGAAGGGUGGGUCAUGUUAUUUUGGCAACCGUAUCAGGAUGUGAAAUUAAUCAAUGGGCUUCUACCACGAUUCCCUUAGAAAUCCUUGGGUUUUGGAAAUGCUGUGAGAAGCUGUGCUGUGAACGUCACGUUGUUGGUGUUGCAGUGGUGGAUGACUUCUGACACCCAGGGCAAGGGAGUGCAAGCAAGGAAGGCUCACUAGGGCUGUAACGUGAGAGCACUAUGUUAAUGUGGCUGUGACUGAAUCAGUACCGCAAGAAGAUUAAGAGAGAGUACUUCUGGUGUUUUAAAAGGGUAACAGGAGACCGAGGAGACUUUAAAGUCAUUAGCCUGACGUGGAGUCUGUGCAAUUUUAAUGGUAAGAGUUAAUUUGUGAUUCAGGGGAAGAAGAUUUAGCAGCUAAAUGCAUAUACUGAUGCAAGUAGAUUGGCCCUUUGGAAGGCAAGUGUAAACUGUGACAGGUUUGUCAAGAUUAUGGCCCAGCUGAUGGAAGCACAGUUGGUAGAAUUGUUUCUCCAAAGCUCUUGACUUUGUACCGCGGUUUAUUUGUUUUAUUUAAAGGGCUUGGAUUGCUAACAGAGGGCAUAGUAGCUAUACUGGAAAGCAGCUCGGGCAGAGAGACAGCUGGGGAUUGAUCCCCGGGCUGAAGGGUGUGUAAUUUGUGUAUCAGCCGUAGCAGAGCAGAGAUGGUUACUGCCGGUAAAACCGGGAGGAUGAGGUAGCAAGCAGGGCAAGUCAGCAGCCCGGGGCAGCUGGUGAAAUAGCCAAAAGUUCACCGGGAGCCAGGUGAGAUGCAGGGGAGAGCACCGAGCCCGCAGCCAUGGGAUGGGUGCCGGGCACGGCGUGGAGUCACGCUGCGUGGUCACCUCUGCCCGCGGGCACCAGCCCUGAAGGCUGCAGCCCACCUUGCUUCUCGCUGUCUCCCAGCAGUGUUGGUCAAACACUCAGCUUCAGAACUCCGCUGCUUUAAUGAUGGCAAUUAAACUUGAGCAGUGUGUGAAUAGCGAGAACUGGUGUUCCUUUGCUGGUUGGCCGGCCAAAACGUGUGCUUUGCCUUUCGCUUGUCGUGUGUUGCUUGUCUGUCCCGCACGGCACGUAAGAAGGGCAGCCAAGAUAUUCCUUCCUGCAGCAUCUGGAUGGUAGUAUUAAACUCAGGUUUGCAGCAGCUGAAAGUACAGCUUAAUUCUUCUUGCAGAAGAGAUUGCUGUCGAAUGAUACUCGAAAUGAGGUCGUGUGGAGUCUCAUCUCUCAUUGCUGGCAGUGGGCAGGAUAAAGGACUUCAUGUGGCGUAACUGGGGAAAAAAACCUGCUUGGAAGAAAACUUCUUUUGAGUGGGGUUUAAGCAAGCUGAGAGCAGAGAACAGCAAAUAUAUUUUCCCCAUCUAGAGGCUGAUUUGCCUUCCCCUUGCGGUAAAGCUUCCCCUGGGGUGACUGCUCCAAGACAACGAAGCUUCUGCAGAUGAGGGUGAUGUAACCGGAGUUUCAGUCAGGGCUUCCAGCUCGCAGCAUCCUUGCUUGGGGAGGAAAGCGUGUGCAAGGUGUUCAAGGUGCUCGAGUGCAUUUCUAGACUGCCUUGGCAUCCUCACGAAGGGAAGCCUGGCUCUGUUUUCUCCCCUACAGCAGUCCUAUCUCUCUCUUUGCGAUUGGUUUCAGAGCAGCUUUGGGAAGCAGGAGCAAAGCUGACAAGGUCAGUUUUGUGCUGCUGGAUAUAAAAUCUGCAAAUUGGCCACGGUCAUUGGAAAUACCCUGUUCUUUCCUUUGCAAACCCAGCAGAAACACGAUGAAUAAGCUUUUCUUUCAGGUUCUGAUAGCUUUGUGCUGUCCCUGUCAUAAAGCACUCUUCCCCCGUUCCUACCAGAGCAGGGAGCGCAUACACUUUAAGCUUUGCGGUGGAUUGAGUUCUAGUGCUGCAAAACGUUCAGUUUGCACUGGGUUUAAGUAGAAAUAUGCCAACACCCGCUUUUCACCUUCCUUGGGUGUGUUUCCUGGCUUGGCUCUUCAGAUCUCUGUAGUACUAGUGAAGGCUGUGGUGCUCGUUGUCAGCUUCAGUUUCCAAGCUUCGUCCUUGCGGAGUUUUUCCCUCCCCAAGGCGAUACCUACAGCUGGAAUCCUCGAACAAAGCGCAGAUGAAAGCAGGAAUGGAUUCAUCUCCCUGGCUGCAUGCAAAAUAACCUGCUGCUCAAGGAUUCCAAGGAAAAUUGGUUUCUGAUCUCUGCCAGCAAAGGCAGAGCUGCUUAAAUGGACAAACGUGAGGUGACCAUCUUUGUGCAUUUAGAAGGAAAUUGUAGACAAGUGAGAGUGCUGCCCGGAUGCUUUAAAAGAGAGCCAGAGCCACCGAGCAUGCCAGGAGUGGUAAUUUCCAGGCUUGGCUGGCUGGCGGCCGUCUCCCAAAAACCGCUGUGGGAAAAGAUUUCAUGUUCACAAGGCUGUGCAGCUUGGAAACAUGGACCUGUUCCUACAUGUGUAUCCAUAGGAACUGCGUCUGAACCCGUGUUGUUGCUGCACACGUGGUGGUCUGGCAGAUGUACAGGAUGUGAACAGGUUUACGUGGGAGCAGGGGAACUGGCUUUUUCAGUUAUGGCCCUCUGUUAACAGGCAAAUGGCUCUCCGUUCAACUGCAGUUAGGAACUGGGGUGGAGUUUUGCAAGUCUAAAUUGGUUUUACUCUCCACCCUUUGUUUUUGCACCCCAAUAUAGGAGAGUGUGAGAGGGAAAUGAGCGGCACUGCUUCAGUAAGAAUCCCUCUUGGCUGCUCUCAGGCUCCUGUUUUGCACUUCCAGUGCUGUUUAAGCCUUUUCUCGAUUAUCUUUUUUUUUUUUUUUUUCCCCCUUCCAUUUUCAGACAGCCUUGUGUUCCCCUGCUCACGGACUAGCCGAGGGUUGUGCCUUUAAUAUAAACCAGCUGUCGGCUGUGAAAUGAGUGGAGAACUUAAGAAUUCAGUAAACAUUGCGGAGGGAGCGUGCUUGCACCACAGCAGUAUUCUCAGUGCCAAGCUCGGCUAAAAUCUCGCGUGGGUGACUUCAGCUUUGAUAAGCGUCAGCAGCACUGCUGCGGAGCUCUGGAGGAAGCCUGUUCGGGGAAUUUAAACGAAAAGAUUUAUCCUGGAAAGGCUGUGGUGCAAACAAAGCUGCUGUUGCACAAGAUGCGUUGAGAGCAAGUCAACAAGCUCAAAACCCCAGUCCCCAGGCCAGCUUUUCUGUCCCAACAGUCGAUUGUUCAAUUGCCUAGGGUAUAAUUACUCAUUGUUUGCUUCGUGCUUAAAAUAACAGAAGCCUCUGCUCCUUUCCUCUUAAAACACAGCUUUCAGGUGAGUGCUGUCACGCACAAUUAACGCGAAUGCCUAAUGCCCUUCCAGCUAAGUAUUGAAAAGUAGCGUGGCUGUUGUUCAGUGGGUCAGUGUGCACUUUAAAUAAAUCACUGCUCUGAGAGGAGAACGCAAGGCAUGGGUGCUCGAGGUGGGGAGGAAAGUGAGGUGUAGCUCCUGUGCCCCCAUCCCGUGGGGUGUGGAAGUGCCUGGGGAGCCUUUCCCCACCUGGCUUCAUUUGCUCAGCUCUUUGUAGAAGUGUUUCAGUGCCCAAGGCCCGUACGUUGCCUGCGGGCAGCUCUGCUAUUUCUGGGCAUUUGCGCCAUGCCCUCGUGUACCUUUCCCUGCCUUUGUGGGCUUCCUUUUCUCACUGCUGCUCCCCGAGACCCUGCCUGACCCUCCGUGGCGUUUCAUUGCUGUCAGCUGAUGGGCAGCGCCUUCCCCUUCACCUUACCUUCCCUGCUGCCACCUCAGUUCCCCUUCUUGCUGCAGCACGGUCUUGAUUCCUGCAGUUCCUCCCUGAGGUCAUUCCCUAUUCUGAAAAUUGAAGCUGGUUUUUGAGGUCUUGAUAUCGGGAGCUUGCCCCUUCCAAAUAAAAACCCCAUUCAUUGAGGUGCUCUCCUUUAUUUAGAGAGCCAGAUGUUGACUGGCAAGAUGAUGUCCUUCUUGGGGAUGGUUGCUUUAAGUUAGUGCCUUCUCACUUGCUCGUGGUCAGAAGGAGGUGCAGAAGCGGUCUGAGAGCCUGUGCUGUGAGAGGGGAGCUAGGCAAUGAGGCGGUGGGCUGGAGGAAUUUGUGAGCUUCAAGUUUCAAACCUCAUCUGUGCUCAGAUAGUUGGAGCAACGCUGCCUGAAGCCCUUACCCCAGCCCAAAGGAGAUGUCCUGCGUCCAACAGCUUGCUUUGGGGCUAAAAUGGGUAGGAAAGCCUCAAGGAAGAGCUUGGGAGUAGACAGUUUGCUGUGGGAAGUGGGGAAAAAAACAGCACAGAGCCUGUCAAAUGGACUUACCUGCUUUAAUUGUGUUGUGGUUUUGUUCUUAUUAAAAAUAUGAUAGAAAUUCAGUAAGGUAACGCAAAGUCUCUAGGCAUUUGAUUGCUGUUGUUAAUGUAAAACAAGGGGUGGGAUGCUGGAAGUGCUCGUGAGCAUCUAGCCAAAAUAUGCUGCUUGUCAGCAAACACGACCACAAUUUCCCUGGAGCUGUGCGUGCAGCUAUCACUCUGUGAUGCUGCCACGAACAGAGAAAUAAACUGCUGCUUACGACAGCUGUUUGCUGCCCUACAGAAAUAGCAAAAAAAUAAAAAAAGGGGGUGGGGAGAAGAAAGCUUUUUUGUUUUUUGCUAUAAUAUCAACAAAGAAAAGAAUAAACUUCAAUGGCUGGCAGUAUUUUUCUCUGCUUGGAACCCCUCGAAUUUCCUGCUACUAUAAAAAGUUUUGUGGGUGUGCUUCCAGCUCCUGGGCGAUGCAGGUCUGACAAGCUUUUCCCUCUGCCAGGACGCCUUCGCCUUCCAUCGCUGCUGGUGAUGGGUGUUCAACAAAUCCCUGCCGCGUAUUCCGAGGCGCUAGAGGUGGAGCUUGCAUAUUUGAAACCGUUCUCGGAAAGCAUGGCUUGCCUUUCUCUUCUGUCUUUUAAUGAAAACCUUUAGGGUUUAAAUGAGUUGGCUUUCCACUGCCUUAUUACUCCCAUUACUCCCCUUGCUCUGUGUCUAAUUAAAAGAGGAACAGCAGGGCAGAGUUCACGAUGCCCCGUGCAGGUGGCUGGUCCUGGGCUGAGCCUUGGCGGGCAGAGGCUCAGAUGCCUUGUUCCAUCCUAGCUUUCUAAGGUCGAUAUUUAGAAAGCGUUUUGUUUGCCACUGUCUUACACUUUCUCAUAGGUGCAAAUACAAGCAGUUCAGCCAGAUUCAGAGGUUCAGUUUUUGCUAUCUCUGCCUACCAGGUAAAGCUUUAUUCAGCUUUUAAAGCACCCAGGCACGCUCAGCUUUUCCUAGGAAGGCUCGCUGUUGGGUGAGAGGCUUUAUUGGUUUUGUUUACAGACGGUUUCAUACCUGAAUUAUGGAGGCUGUCAGAGAACAAAUAGGUGCCCAACCUCCCUAGCUCAUUUUAAUAGCUGAAAUCUCAAGUUGCCUUUUGCGACGUUGGUAACAGUCAGUAAAUCCCGUCCUGCCCUUGGCAGGCGCAUGGCAUGUGUCAAUAACAAUUUAUUCUCUGGUUGAAAACACCACAAUGUUAGCCAGUGGAUUGUAAAAAAAAAAAAAAAAAAAAAAAAAAAAAAAAAAAUAUAUAUAUUUUUUUUUUUUGCUGUGUUUCAGUAGCCUUGCUCUGGAAGAGGGAGCCUAUGGUUAAACAAUGAAUGGGAGUGGAGUGGUGUUCGAGUGCUUGACAAAUCCUCGAGUGCUUUACCCUUGUAAAAAUGUGCUCGGCACAGCUCUUUGCAAUGUAGUGCCUUCGGUCUGUUUUCAGGAGGUUGCGGUCUUCCAGACUCCUUGUGUCCGUAGAGAGGUGCGCUGAAGUGGUGAUACCGUCCGGCAGGCUUGUUUCUGAGAGAGGUUCGAGUGUUUCUUCAGAGAGAGAUAAAGUGCAAGAUUAUUAAGAAGGUGGUUUGUUUUUCUUUUGUUAAGAAGUGGCAAAGGCAUCUGGUAGAUUCAAUUUUCUUUUUUGUUUUCCACACCUUGAGCAAAGAUUUUUAGGAAUUGGUUGAAGCUGCACAUACCAGGACAGUUUAUGUCUGAUUUUUUUUAUUGCUUUAUUUUAUGGAACACACUUGGAAAAAACAUGAAUGCUAUUUUAAAUUCGUCUUGUUUCCAGGAUUAUGGUUUUGGUUAUAGUUCUUUUUUUAUUAUUUUAUUUAGAUGAUUGCUUCAUCUCUGGUAUAGCAAGAUGAGU